This 244-nucleotide non-coding RNA is filed under the name Clostridium neonatale. RNAcentral describes it as "T-box". It matches the Rfam family "T-box leader". Rfam says of the family: Uncharged tRNA acts as the effector for transcription antitermination of genes in the T-box leader family. The record is from RNAcentral. Lineage: Bacteria; Bacillati; Bacillota; Clostridia; Eubacteriales; Clostridiaceae.
AUAAAUGCAAUGAAAAGAAGAGUAGUAAAGUAAACAUUCCAUAAGAGAGCUGACAUUUGCUGAAAGUCAGUGUUUGUGAAUUUUAUGAAGAUGGUCUUAGAGCAGAUUUCCUGAGCUAAAGUAUUUGAGUUAGGGGAAUACGGUGGCAACCGUUAUGUUGCAGGGUGAUGAUGGUCACCUAAUGAGUUAUUUAUUGUGAAAUAAAUAAGAAAUAGAGUGGUAACACGUAUAAUACGUCUCUAUA